RNAcentral lists this small RNA (247 nucleotides) under Arabidopsis thaliana (thale cress). Its description in RNAcentral is "ATSL121690". Lineage: Eukaryota; Viridiplantae; Streptophyta; Magnoliopsida; Brassicales; Brassicaceae. The record is from RNAcentral.
GCUAUUUUCCGGUAAUUAGACAAACUUCAUUAAUGGACCCAAAGAUCCUUGUACAAAAAAACUAUCAUUAUUAUUACUGAUCAGUAAAAUUAAUAUCCCCUCGGUGAAAAACCGUAAUACGCCCCUCGUUUUUUCACAUAUACAAGCUAAAACUACAACAAGUGGGAACUUAUCCUGUUGAGAAUCCUAUCUUGCGAAAAGCGCAAAUCACUCGAGCCUCUUUCUCUAGAAGUGCCAUCUAUGGGAU